UCGAAUAAAUUGUGGAGACUUUGGGUUCUUGAGUAGGACACAUUUACAAGAUGCAAUAGCUUUUCUCUAGCUUUGUCCUCUUCUACAUACCUUGCAACAACAGCAUACUGAUCGUGGUUGGAAACAUCUGUAGUAGAAUCCAUCUGUACAGAAAAUAAGCCAGCGUCAUUUACAUCUUUGGGAAUUCUCUCCUUUUACAUCACUGCGAUCAAUUUGAAAAUCUU
Molecule: non-coding RNA, 224 nt
Organism: Paramuricea clavata
Lineage: Eukaryota; Metazoa; Cnidaria; Anthozoa; Malacalcyonacea; Plexauridae
Source: the annotation of a GenBank genome assembly